GCCUGGUGGCUCAGUCAGUUAAGCAUCUGACUUCAGCUCAGGUCAUGAUCUCACAGUUCGUGGGUUCGAGCCCCACAUUGGGCU
This 84-nucleotide transfer RNA is filed under the name Felis catus (domestic cat). It matches the Rfam family "tRNA". From Rfam's summary of the family: Transfer RNA (tRNA) molecules are approximately 80 nucleotides in length. Their secondary structure includes four short double-helical elements and three loops (D, anti-codon, and T loops). Lineage: Eukaryota; Metazoa; Chordata; Mammalia; Carnivora; Felidae. The record is from Rfam by way of RNAcentral.